GAUAUGUGGAGGAACCACGCCUAGCUGUGGUGUCAGGCUCAUAUCCUCUGCCUCUUUCUUGAGAAGAAACAAAACUACCUGGUUUCUUAAUAGAAGAAACUUGGCUAUGAUUUCUUUGCACAGACUUAUUCUUCAUAGCAGCUAAAUUCUUUACUUCUCGACUGUUGACAAACUCUAUUUUUGCCUUCUUCAUCAACGGACUCUUUGUGUUCCCAAAAUUGCUACCAAGUCCACUACCAUAAAAGCUUCUUUUAUUGCUAGAAGGGGGAACCUUUGUGCAGACUUGAACUUGUCGGCUUUGCCGUUUGGCAUUUUCGUUUUGGUACAAUUCCUUGAUUCUUUCAAAUGAUCUUUGUUGAGUUUCCUCCAUUUCCUGUGUCUUCGCCUCAUAUAACUGUUUCCAUUUAAAUGUUACUUUCACUUGCUUCAUUCGCUCAACCACCUGAUUGAUGCUCUUGUCACCAAACUCAAUCUGGUAAAACCUCUUCCAAAGUCUAUCAGUCACUUGACUGAGAUCUCUUCCUUCUGUCGAAUUCUCCACAUGUGUCAAUUGUUCAAGAGAACAGUGAGGCAAAAUGCGCUCUAGUAGAUAAGUGUCUGUUUCACCCACAUCCCCAAGGUACCUCAAAUUAUCUACUGCUGUCCGAACACAUAAAUCUACCAGCGAAGGAACCUUACACCUCAUUGUAAAACGCCUUUUAU
RNAcentral lists this unclassified non-coding RNA (702 nucleotides) under Hevea brasiliensis (rubber tree). The record is from RNAcentral. Lineage: Eukaryota; Viridiplantae; Streptophyta; Magnoliopsida; Malpighiales; Euphorbiaceae.